RNAcentral lists this long non-coding RNA (3861 nucleotides) under Equus asinus (donkey). RNAcentral's name for it is "lncRNA (ENSEASG00005036081.1)". The record is from RNAcentral. Lineage: Eukaryota; Metazoa; Chordata; Mammalia; Perissodactyla; Equidae.
GGGAAAGUGGGCUUGGAAGCUCUUGUAGGGAAGUGCUCAAAGCAGGAUGGGAACAUGUCGAAAGGACAAGUGAGCCUGCUGAAAGGAGCUCCCAUUGGCCAACUCUGGGACAAUUUGAGCAUCAAAAUAAAUCAUGAUCGUAAGUGAUUACAACCUAUUGGAUAAAAUAGGAUUCCGUGAGUCCAUGCUAAUAUAAAUGAAUAAAUAAAUGAAUGGGGAAAAGGGACAGCUCCCGUUAUGGAAGAAUGCCAACUAAUAAGAUUGAUGGAAAUCAAUCAUCACUCUGGUGGAUGGGUGUUUGAUGUGAAGCAGGAUGUUAGCCUAGUCUUAAAGUAUCUUGUGAAAAAGAUUGAUUGAUUACAAGGAGGAAAAUGGUGAAUUUAUUGAUGAGACCCUGAAAGACACCAAAGGGACCAGGUGAUCAAGAUGAGCAUCACCAUUCAUGGAAUGAGUCACAUCAUGUGCCUUCUGAUGUGAUGUGCUGAAAAGAGCACAGCAUCUUUUCUGUCACAUUCCUGCCAAGAAUGCUCAGCCUGAGUCUGGAUACGAGGGAACGUUGGAUGGACCCAGGGUGAGAGGCGUCCUACAAAAUGAAAGGUCUUCUUUAAAAUUCUUAAGCUUAGGAGAGACAGAGAUAGAUAGAAGAACUAAUUGAUUCAAGCUGAAGGAGACUUAAGAGAAAUGACACUAAAUGCAACAAAUGAUCCUGGACUGGCUCCUGUACCAGACGGGAAAAUAAACAGUUGGCAAAAAUUGAAUGAAGUCUGUGGAUUGGAUUGCAGUGUAUUCUCAAUGAUGAUUGCUUGAUUUGGACAACUAUAUUGUAACUAUGGAGAAGAAUGUCCUUGCGUGGUUAUAUGUACACCAAAGUAUUUAGGAGUGAUGAGGCAUUCUCUCUGCAUCUUGCUUUUAAAUGGUUCAGAAAAAAAAUAUUGAUAAUCUCUAAGAUCUUGGUUUCCGCUAGCCACUAUUUUGGAGAAGCUGAAAUCCAAUUCAUGAUAAAAUAAAUAGUCAAAAGUCCGUUUUUGGGUGUGGGAGGUUAUUAAUCUGUUUCCAGCUUUGUGCUGCUAAUGAUUCUCGUCCAGCACGACCACACCUUUUUGUCCAGUAGUACUACUUGAACCAUUGAGCUGGGUAGACCAUAGGGAAUAAAAUAGAUAAGGUUCUUGCUUUCGUGGAGUUUACAUUCCGGGGUGAGAGAAACAGAAAAUUUUCAAGUUUUAGAUUAGUCCAGGUAAGAACAAGUGCAGUAGAGUGAAGGAGGGUGACCUAUUUUUGUAUAGGUGCAAUUUUACACCUAUACAAAAUCAGGAUCAGCUGCUCUGAUGAGGUGACUUUUGAACAGGAUCUUGAAAGAAGUGAGGGAUCCAUGUGCCUAUUUGGGGGACCAGCUGUACCAGGAAGACGGAGCCAUAAGUACAAUGGCCCUGAGGCAAGAUUGUAUUUGAUGUACUUGAAGAACAGUGGAGAAACCAUUGAGGAUGAAGAAGAAUGAGAGAAAGAAAGAGGGAAGGAGAUGAGGUCAGAGAGAUGAGAGCAAGUAAGGAAACAAGGAGAAUAAUCAGGAGCUAUAACCAUAAUGGAGGAAACAGAGGACAGUGGCUUGUGCCAGGAAAGUGGCAAUGAACAUGGUGAGAAGGGACUGGAUCCUCAACAUAUUUUGAAGAUAGAAUAAACAGGAUUCUCUGGUACAUUUGAAAUGGGAUAGGAAAGAAGGAGAGAGUUCUCGAAGGACUUUACAGUUUGGAGUCUAAGCAACUGGCAGAAUGGAGUUGUCUUUUUCUGACAUGAAGAAGAUUGCAGGAGGAGCUGGCUGGGAUAAGAAUCAAGAGUUUUGAAUAUGUUAUAUUCAAGAUGCCUAGAGAUAUCCAAAUGGCAAUUUCAUGUACUUUGCCUCAGCACAGAGUUCCAGAAGGAAGAUGACUGGAUCCAAGCACGUGAACAGUUUCCAAGUUAUUGACACAUGCAGGAUGGGCAAAUUGCUUUUCCAAAUGUUGGCCUCCCUUAAUACACCAUGCCCUAGAGUAAUAGUCUUUGAAAUAUCACCAGAAGACAGCUUAGUGGUGAGACCUGCCUGAAGAGGGACUCUCUCUACCCAAGCAGCCCGGGCCAGAUAGAAUGAGUAGAUUUGCCCAGGGCUCUUUGGUGUAGGGAGGUAUUCUUGUUUCCAUAAAGGGUAGAAGUGAAUUUGACUUAAAUGCAUGCAACAUAUAUGUGUCUGAGUCAGAAACAAAGAGCAGCCCCAGCAGGGAAUGACAUGUUCCAUUUCUCCAAAUGUCAGCAAGUUCGACUUCCCGUACGAACCUCUCAGCCUUGACAUGCUUUAGCCUCUUGCCAGUAGUGUGCACUGCGUGUUCAAAGGGAAUUCUACCACUGACUUUUAGAAAAUGAAUUAAAACAUUUGAAAAUAAAAUCCCUCCUACAUAUAUAUAUAUCUUCAUGGCUUAAUAAAAGUUUAAUGUGGAGAAGUUUCAGUAUGCAGGACUUGAGCCAUAAUGUGUUUUUAAUUUUACAUUGAUUGAUUGCAAUUUUUUAAAAUUAAUGCCUGUUUGAUUCUUCAGUGCAGGUCCUUUCUUCACAAUACGCUCCUAAAUAACUAUCCCCAUGACUGAAAAGGAGGAAAACUCUUCGAAAAUAUAUUCCACGUGUCUCUGAAGGGGGAAGAAUCUUCAAAAUAUAAAAUAGGAGGUUCACGUGGCCUUACAUAUAAGGGCUGGCAUUAUUAUGUUAAAAAUUAAUUUCCUAUGCGGUAACAGCCUGUGGUAUUUAGUUUCCUGUGGCCCAUCCUAAGGAUAUUUCCCUCUUCUUCUUCCAUAUUUGCUUGGAGGGGAAGUGCAAUGUGCUCGAGUGGGGGAGUGGGAGCUUCGGCGGCAGACAGACCAAGAUUAGAAUCUCGGUCCUGCCACAUGGACAGUUUUCACAGUACCAAGCUGCAAUUUUCUCUUUAAAACUGGAGUGAUUACACCCCCUCCCAGGACUGCCGGAAGAUUCUAAAGGUCAACGUAUGUUGGGCACAUAAAAGAGUGAGAGAGACUCCAAGGAGAGGUCAGGACAAGAAGAGUAGGAGAAAACAGUCUAGAAAUUUUAAUGUCCAAAAAAAUGUAAAGAAAGUCAGUUUAUUUAUGUAUGUAUAUAUGGUUGCCUAGUUUGUGUUAGGUCCUGUGCUGGAUGCUAAGGAAUAGACAGGGCUCUCCUCUCAAGGAGUUUAGAAUCUAGUUUUAGAGAUGGAUAUAAUCAUCUAAGGGAAUUGUGAAGGUAGAGUGGAUAAUUUUUCAAACACACAAUAAGAAUUCAGUGAGAGCAAAUAAUUCUACAUAGAAAUGGUGAACUACAGGGAUGAUGGAACCAGGCUGAUCCUGUAACACAUGUAACACGGAUAACCGUACAGAGUACCAGGCUUGCAGAUCUCCUCCAGGAGGGCCCUCCUACUCCUGCUUAUAUUCCAAGCAUCUGCUGCAAUGUCUGGCCCACGGAAAACAUCAAUAGAUGCAUUGAAUAAUGAAUAGGAAUGAAGAGCUGCAAGUUUUGAGCACUUAGUAUAUAUGCAGGCACUAGUCUACGCACUUCACGUAGACUGUCUUAUUUCAUUCUCAGGAUGAAUUUAUGGGUCAGUAUCAUCAGUCUCAUGACACAAAUGAGGAAGCAGAGACUGAAAGUGCCUGAGGUCAUGCAACUGGCAAGUACAAGAAUGGGGCUUUUUUUUUACUGGAAGUUUGGCUCCAGGUGAUGGUCUUGAAGGCUAUCCUAUUGCAUUGCUAUUCUCUUUGCCUUAGAUAUUCACCAUCUUGAUCGUUGACUGGACUCACAUUUGUAAGUUCACUUCUUUGCCUCUUGCUAACUCUUUUGUUCAUGUCAGCGCUC